RNAcentral lists this unclassified non-coding RNA (239 nucleotides) under uncultured fungus. RNAcentral's name for it is "partial contains 5.8S ribosomal RNA, internal transcribed spacer 2, and large subunit ribosomal RNA". The stretch from base 1 to 52 matches the Rfam family "5.8S ribosomal RNA", at positions 103 to 154 of the family's 154-position model. Lineage: Eukaryota; Fungi. The record is from RNAcentral.
AACGCACAUUGCGCCCCGUGGUAUUCCGCGGGGCAUGCCUGUUCGAGCGUCAUUUAAACCAAUCCAGCUCGCUGGGUCUUGGGCUCUCGCCUCUGGGCGGGCCCUAAAAUCAGUGGCGGUGCCGUCCGGCUCUACGCGUAGUAAUACUCCUCGCUAUAGGGCCCGGGCGGUCGCUGGCCAGCAACCCCCAAUUCUAUUAGGUUGACCUCGGAUCAGGUAGGGAUACCCGCUGAACUUAA